AUUGAACGCUGGCGGCAGGCCUAACACAUGCAAGUCGAGCGGAUGAAGGGAGCUUGCUCCUGGAUUCAGCGGCGGACGGGUGAGUAAUGCCUAGGAAUCUGCCUGGUAGUGGGGGAUAACGUCCGGAAACGGGCGCUAAUACCGCAUACGUCCUGAGAGAGAAAGUGGGGGAUCUUCGGACCUCACGCUAUCAGAUGAGCCUAGGUCGGAUUAGCUAGUUGGUGGGGUAAAGGCCUACCAAGGCGACGAUCCGUAACUGGUCUGAGAGGAUGAUCAGUCACACUGGAACUGAGACACGGUCCAGACUCCUACGGGAGGCGGCAGUGGGGAAUAUUGGACAAUGGGCGAAAGCCUGAUCCAGCCAUGCCGCGUGUGUGAAGAAGGUCUUCGGAUUGUAAAGCACUUUAAGUUGGGAGGAAGGGCAGUAAGUUAAUACCUUGCUGUUUUGACGUUACCAACAGAAUAAGCACCGGCUAACUUCGUG
RNAcentral lists this ribosomal RNA (484 nucleotides) under uncultured bacterium. RNAcentral's name for it is "partial 16S ribosomal RNA". It matches the Rfam family "Bacterial small subunit ribosomal RNA", at positions 30 to 507 of the family's 1533-position model. The record is from RNAcentral.